This 158-nucleotide ribosomal RNA is filed under the name Camarophyllopsis schulzeri. RNAcentral describes it as "5.8S ribosomal RNA". It matches the Rfam family "5.8S ribosomal RNA". Rfam says of the family: 5.8S ribosomal RNA (5.8S rRNA) is a component of the large subunit of the eukaryotic ribosome. Lineage: Eukaryota; Fungi; Basidiomycota; Agaricomycetes; Agaricales; Clavariaceae. The record is from RNAcentral.
CAACUUUCAACAAUGGAUCUCUUGGCUCUUGCAUCGAUGAAGAACGCAGCGAAUUGCGAUAUGUAAUGUGAAUUGCAGAAUUCAGUGAAUCAUCGAAUCUUUGAACGCAUAUUGCACUUUCUGGUCAUUCCAGAGAGUAUGCCUGUUUGAGUGUCAUU